Molecule: long non-coding RNA, 11640 nt
Organism: Equus caballus (horse)
Lineage: Eukaryota; Metazoa; Chordata; Mammalia; Perissodactyla; Equidae
Source: Ensembl
AAUAUUUCAUUUUUUGGUGGUGCUAAUGUAAAUGGUACUGAGUUUUUAAUUUCAAAUUCUGCAUGUUCAUCGUUGUUAUAUAGGAAAGCAGUUGGCAUUUGUAUAUAAACCCUGUGUCCUGCAACCUCGCUAUAAUCACUUAACAGUUCUAGGAGUUUUCUUGACUAUUCUUUUAGGUUUUCUAUAAAGAAGAUCAUGUCAUCUGAGAACAAACAUGGUUUUAUUUCUUCCUUCCAAGUCUCUGUACUUUUUAUUUCCUUUUCUUAUCAUAUUGCAUUAGAUAGAACUUCCAGAAUAAAAUUGAAAAGGAGUGGUGAGAGAGGACAUUCUUGCCUUGUAUCUGAUCUUAGUGGAAAGGUUCAAGUAUUUCAGCAUUAAAUAUGAUGUUAGCACCAAUCUUCCUGUUUUCACUUGAGGAAGAUUGGCCCCUAGCUAAUGUCUGUGCCAAUCUUCCUCUAUUUUGUAUGUGGGACACCACCACAACAUGGCUUGAUGAGCAGUGUGUAGGUCUGCACCCAGGAUCUGAACCCACGAACCCCAGGCCACUGAAACAGAGUGUCUUAACCACUUAACUGCUGCACCACUGGGCUGGUCCCAUACUUUACCAAGUGGAGGAAGUUCCCCUCUAUUCCUAGUUUGCUGAGAGUUUUUAUCAUGAAUGUGUAUCAGAUUUUGUCAAAUACUUUUUCUGCAUGUAUUGAUAUGAUUAUGUGAUUUUUCUUUUUCAGUCUGUUGAUGUGAUGGAUUAUGUUAAUUGAUUUUCAAAUGUUGAACCAGCCUUGCGCACCUGGGAUAAAUCCCACUUGGUCAUGAUGUAUUAUCCUUUUUAUACAUUGUUGGAUUUGAUUUGCUAGUAUUUUGUUGAGGAUUUUUGAAUCUAUGUUCACAAGAGAUAUUGGUCUCCUUUUUCUUUUCUUUUCUUGUAAUUUCUUUGUGUGGUUUCGGUCGUAGAGUAAUGCUGGCCUCAUAGAAUGAGUUCGGAAGUGUUCCCUCUGCUCCUAUCCUCUGAAAGAGAUUGUAAACAUGUGCUAUAAUUUCUUCCUUAAGUGUUUGGUAGAAUUUAUCAAUGAACCCAUCUGGGCUUGAUGUUUUCUCUUCAUUUUGUGUUAAUUUUUGUGUACGGAGUUAAGUAUGGGUCGAGGUAUGUAUGUGUGUGUGUGCAUCUAUAUAUGUAAAUAUGAAUAUGUGUAUAUUUAUAUGAUCAUUCCAGCAUCAUUUGUUGAAAAGACUAUUCUUUCUCAAUUGAAUUCCCUUUGAAUCUUUGUAAAAAACAAAUUGUCCAUACACGUGUGGGUCUACCUCUGGGCUCUCUAUUUUCUCCCAUAGAUCUGUCUACCUACUCGCUGAUACCAUACUGUCCUGAUUACUGUCUACAGGUAGUCUUCCACUCAGUGUUGGACAGAAGAAUUUGCUUGCCUUCACAUGGCGGAGACUGAGGCUUGAGAGUAAGAGAAGGAAGUGUGAUUUCAGAUAGCAGAGGGUUGCGUGGAAGAGAGAAAGAACCCAAGAUGUGCUAAGCACUAUGCUACGCUUUUCAUAUGUUUUCUUCUCUUUAAUCCCAUAACCCUAGGAGAAUGGUGCUUUUUAUUUUUGAGGAAGGAAGGCUAGCUCUGAGCUAACAUCUGCCACAAUCUUCCUCUUUUUGCUGAGAAAGACUGGCCCUGAGCUAACAUCUGUGCCUAUCUUCCUCUACUUUAUAUGUGGGAUGCCUGCGACAGCAUGGCUUGAUAAGCAGCACUAGGUCCGUGCUGGGUAUCCGAAGUGGCAAACCCAGGGCUGUGGAAGCGGAUCGUGAGAACUUAACUGCUACGCCACAGGGCCAGCCCCAGUGCUGUUUGUAUUAUCCUCAUUUCACAGAGGAGGAAACUGGGAAACAGACAGAUUAAGGACUUGCCUGAGGUCACACAGUAGGAAGUAGAGUUGAGGUUUAAAACCAGACUCUUGGUCUCUGGACCUUGAGCUCUUGACUGAUGAACUAAAAUUCUCUGGGUGAAUUUUCUUUCUUAAUUCUCUGCUUAGCUUGCCACAUAGCUGUGGUGGAGCUGUAAUGCGAGUCUGGGUCAGCUGGACUCCAGUGGUUGAGAAAGUGAGAAGAAUAGAUGGAGGAGGCCUCUAAGUGGAUGAGUGAUAUGGUUAAAAUAGAAGCAUGGAAGAUGAUUACCCCCCACACCCAGUGGUUCCUGACACAGAGCUCCUAAAUCCCUUGGAAUUUUCUGGGUGAUAGAAGUGUCUUUUGUUCUAAUGAGGCAAUACUUGUUUGUAGUUUACUUCAUGAUAACGUGUUGGAGGAAGAAGGGACGACACUGGAUUACAGAAGUUCUGCUUCUACGAUUUAAAAAGAUAUCCAUUUAUAAGGCCGAUUCACAGCAAGUGUAAUCAACUGCACACCAAUCAGAGCAUUUGCAGAUCAUAAGCGUCAAAUCUCAGCAACGUGGAUGCUCUUUAUUCUCCGUGCAUCAUCCAAAGGAUCUAAAUGAGAACAGAGCUGGAGUGGAGAACCAAGUCUUCAUCUGGAGAUGGCAAAUAUGGCUCAUCUUGUGGGCCAGCUGUCAUUGACUGGUAGUGAUGACAGGAGAAAGCAUGUUGAGAAGGAAUCUGAGGCCAAAUCAAGGGGUACGUUAGGCCUCAACAGAGCCAGACCAUCCAUCCGCCCUGAGCUGCCCUGCAGGGUGGAGGGUCAGCCCAUCAGCUUCUCUUCAUGAUGUGCUCAGGAGCCACUGAAGGACCACACAUCUGAACAGCAUGUGGACAGGCUCCUGCAGGGUGUGGAACACAGCAGAGCCCAUGGGCUGGUGGCAGGAGGGAGGCCCUCAUCUCUCUGCUCUUCCAAUGGAAUCUAAGAGCGGUUUCCAGUAUGGUGCACAAGGACUAGUGAGACAGCAAUUAACGUGAAGCUAUUACCCUCAUUUGGGUCUGGAGGGAAGGUGGUGCAGCCAGGAGACAACUUCAGGAGGUAAGAAACAGCCUCCGCCAGGGGGAACACUGGACAUAUGAUCUAAAGAAGAGCCUGAGGUCACCAGAUCACACAGAUGGGAAAGAGUGUCCAGGCAGAAGGACCUCAAGGAACUGGAGACACUGGUGAUGACCGAAGCCCUGAGAACAGGGGAGCGCCGUGCAGCAUGAGGCUGGUGAGGUGAGUGGGGGCCAGUCCAUGCAGAGCCCGAGCAGACCCUUGAAGGCUCUGUUGAUAAUGCUGGUGUUGGUAAUGGGGCUGGUGGCCACUUAUGGGCCGCCUCUGCAGUCCUCAGCUCUUAGAGCCUGCACUUGGCCGCCCUUUGGCAAAUAUGGCCCAACUCAUUGGACAUGCAUGUCAAUCCUGGCUGCUUGGCUACAGCAGGAAUCCCUCUAGGAAGCUGACUUGGCUCUGGGCCUUGGUUGCUUGGGUGAUAUGGAAAUGAUUUUCCUUGGGGGGCAGGAGGCAGAGACAUCCAUAGUUGGCUGUAACGGAGAUGCACACGUCUGCAGGCAUCGCUGCUGGUGUUGUUCGAAGGGCCGCUGGGUAGGGGUGAGCCAGCCCCUCAGUGACUUCUCCACCUCUGCCAUUCCAGCUCUUUCUGCCUGGCUCUGAGGCUCCCACCUACGGGAUCGGCCCUGCUCCCAGUUCCUCCUUUCUUGUGAGAAUAGACCCAAAUCUUACCACUAUGUUCACACAAUUUCUCCUUGAGAGCCACAAUGAGGAAGGCUCUGCUACUAACGCUCACUUUAUAUUGAGGUGAGACUUGCCCACUAAUAAGGGCAUCCCACCUUCAUUAGGUAUGUAUCCUGAACCAGGUGCAAUGCAGUAGACUUUGCAUCAGGAAUUAGCUCCUUUAGUCUUCCCAACAACCUAUGAGAUAGAAAAAGGGGAAGAGAAAGGGAGUCAAAAUAAACACGUGUGUAGUUUUAGUUAACAAGAAAAAAAUCAUUCAACAAAUAUAUAUUGAGCCCCUACAGCGUGCCAGGUAAAGUGGACAAUGCUGGGGAGAUACCAAUGGACACAGACGCAAAAGCCUUGUUGUCACUGGGCUUACGCUCUAGUUAGGAGAAAGAGAUCAUCAAUCAAAGAAAGAAGCGAGAUAUAAGCUAUAAUCCGAUGGUGAUAUGUGCUAACGAAGGCCACACAGGCAGAGGGAGAGUCAAGGAGGAGGGUUUGCUGUUUGCUAGACAGAGAAAGGCCCCAUGAGAUGAGACCUUUGAGCCAAGGCUGAAAGAUGGGAGGGACGGAUGAGCAAAGGCCUGAAAUGAGAGCCCGCAGGGGUGUUCAAGGAUCUGCAGGAAGCAGGGUGUGGCUCGGUGGACUGAGGGAAGGAGGCGGAGGCUGAAGUCAGAGGGGUGGGGGACGCCUUUGGAGGCCUCCAACAGGGGUUUCGGCUUUCGUCUGAUCGAGGUGAAGGCCGCUGAGGGUUUUGAGCAAAGGGGUGAUGGUGCUGACAUCGUUUUUAACGCAUCUCUGUGGCUGCCAUAUCAGGAUGAACAUAUUAAGGGAACAGGGUUGAGAAUAGACAUCAUGGGAAACAGCUGACUUCCACUUUCCUCCGCUCUUGAAUGUGCUUGACUCCGUCUUCCAGGAUUCUCUGGCAUUCAAGAAAGAGCAAGUUCAUAAAUAAAAAUGAGUCCCCGACCCGGAGCAUCGGGGGCUGCCCCCCUCCCCUCCGGCACGUGCUCCCCUUCAGGCUCCCAGCGCCUGCACACCUGGGGUGUGUUGAUAAUGCUCUUGAUUAUCUUUGUUCUCCCAGCCUCCUCUGAGUUUGUGGGGUUUUCUAUUUGCAUACCUUCCCUGAGCUUUUUAUGAUUACCGCCCCAUCUUUACAGUUUGCUCCAUUAUUUAAAUGAGUGUGAGGUAGAUGCAAAAAUGCCAGCUGGAUGAGCAGACUGCAUGGGCACUGUAAGGAAGGUGGUGUGGAGAGUGGGAGCCACAGGCCUGCCAGUCCGCCGUGGGGGUCUACACAGCUACCUGUGUGCCUGUGCAGCUCCCUGCUGCCCUGAACAGCUGCGUGCACCUGUGUCUUCAAGUUCAUGGACGCACGUGGACUUUAAAGGGCACGUUAAACCAAGGUCCACAUGACCUCUGAUUGGGAACUAAUUUGUAGAUAUACUGAUUUUUUUCCACAGACUUAAAAAGACUCAGUGAAAUAUCUGGGUUCUGCUCCUCUCUCACGUCCAAAUUUGGCCUGCCAGAGUUGUUCGUUUUCUUGUAGACACACAUAAAUGACACAUUCAUCAAAUGCCUGGAGUGGUAUUGGGUGCUUUGUCACUCCGUUCAGUCCUCCCCUAUUCUAGAGGUAGGAAUUAUUGUCUCCACGUAUCAGAGAAAAACAGCUCAGAUGCAGGGAGGCGAAGAGAAUCAGCAUUGCCAAAAUUUACAAAGCAAGUAAGUGGAGGAGGUGGGAUUCGAACCGUGAUCUCGCCUGUUCCCAAGCCCUUGGUCUGUUCCGUACCUCCUCCUUUUGGGGAGUGGGGUAGGGGAAGGUGGGCAUGUACAGGAGGGAGCUGAGGCUGUACCCUGACUUUCCCGCCUUGGUCAGCAAUGAGAGCAAAGAGGCCAGGAGAAGGAGGGGCUCGCCCACUUGUCCACCACCCCCCUCUCUGCCUUGGAAAUGAUGUGGGUGGCAGCUUUGUGAACUUUCCACACACAGGCGGGGACAGUGUUAUGCUGAAUGACAGAAUCAGGAUCAACAAGUUCUCAGUGGACUAGAAUGAGGAGUUGAAUCUAAUGCAGUGAGAUUUAAUAAGUUUAGUAAAUGUAAGAUUUCCUAAAAUCUGGGGUGUAAAAUAAUUAACCGACAAAAUGUAGGUGCAAGAGAAUCCUGGCUUAGCUGGAUGGAUAUCCGAUGAAUAUUUAGUGAACACAUAUUUUUUGCCUGACAUUAGGGUUAUAGAAAUCAACAAAUCAGGCACAAUCCUUGUCUCAUAAAGCUGAUAUUCAUGCGGGCUGAGAGAGGCAAAGCUAAGUGAACAAAAAUAGAUAGUAAGUACCAGUGUUGAUGCGUGCUGGGAUGGAAUGGGGACAGGUAGAUCAGGUGACGCGAUGGCGACAAGCAGAGGAGGUCCGUUGAGUCAGUCCUGGGGACUUUUGUAAUCAUGAAGCUCAAUGCCUGUUAAUGGUGGCCACAGCCAGGUCUCCUAAGGGGGGUGGAGCUCUCAGCAGUUUGCCUGAUAGUUUGGGAAGGAGUUGUUCAUUGUUUCAUUUAAGACGUAUUUAUUGUGCGCUAAAUGGCAGGUACUAUUCUAGGCAUUGGGGAUAGAUUGUCCUCCUGGAGUUUAUAUUCUAAUGUGAGAUAGAGACAAUAAACAAACACUCAAGUAAAUUUACAUGGAUAUUAUGAUAUAAGUACUACAAAGAAACAUUCAAUAGGAUGAGUGGAUAGAAGGUGAUGGGGCUCUGUUAGGGAGCAUGGACAGGUAAGAGCUCUCUUGGGGCAUAAUAUUUGAGCAGAGACCUGAAUGAGGCAAUGGAAUAACCAUGAGGAUAUAUGGAGAAUGGUAUCUCUCGGAAGCAAGGGCAAAGGCCCUGGGGCAUGUGAUGGGUUAGGGAUGAUCGUUCCAGGUUUAGGGCAAAGCCUCUGUCACUGAAGCAAAGGGAGCAAGACAAAGAAAGUUGGGGAGUGAGUGUGGGGAGCAGGAAGGGUGGGUCCUUUCAGGCCAGGGGGCAUGGGAGGAAGUUUGGAUUUUUCCACAAGUGAGCGGGGAAGGACCGUGCCAGGGUCUAAUGGGAGCUUUGUAAGACUCGCCCUGCUGCCGUGUGGAGCACAUGCUCUCGGGGCAAGCAGACCAGUUGUUAGGACGUAGUGAAGAGAAGGGCUCGGACUGGACGGUGGGUUGACAGCAGCAAUUCCAGUGUCCCACCCCAUGCUUCACGUGGCCCAGGGAGGCCUCAAUGGGGACACAAGCUGCUGGUUCAGGCUCUUUGAGGCUCCUAGGGCUAAAUGUUGCUUCAAGAACACCCUCCUUGGCUGAGAGAGAUCUCAGGCACUUGGCCAUGGUGACACGUUGGUCUCAGCACCUGUGGUGCUGACUAUUUAUAGCACUGCUCACCUCACACGCGCUUCUACAAAUAGAUGUAUUCAAAGCCGGCUCUUCUCCUGAUGUUCGAGUCUGCGUGAUUUCUGCUUAGUUGCCACUCCUUCUGUUCUCCUACUGGUAUCACAGGGCUCCCCAUCCCCCAAGCUGAGAAUGAAGAUAUCUGCUGAUGGAUUCCUACAAGAUACCCUGAGUGUGUCUAGGAGGCCCGAAAGGGUGGCCCACCCGGGCUGUACGUGCACCAUCUUACGCCGCUCUGCCGGGAGCUCAGCAUCCUUGUCACAUCCUUGCCCUACCCUGAGAUCCUGUUUUCCUCUGCAGGAAAACAGCUCUGCCCUGGAGGGUGUUUCUGUCCCAGGGUGAAGGGCAAGGACUUCCCCUUCUCUGCAUAGCCCCCAGUUCCCCGCUGGUCCCUCCACUGUUCUCCACGCGGAGAUGGGGAGACGACCUUCCUUUCAAUCCUCUGCCUCAUCCCUUUACUUCUGCCUGUGCCCCGUCCAUUAUGCGGGGACACUGCUGAUUGUUGAGUUCCCGGAGGAGGUGAGCAUCCUGUCAUGCCUUUCUCAGUCACCUGAGUCUCCACCAGGUGAACCCCUCCUUCAUUCAGGAGACCAACAGCCCUCCUGCACAUCAGUUCAUAAGAAGGGAUGCCUGGGGGCCGAUUGGAUUGCUCGGCCUCCAUGUCCAAUUUCACUUAAUUUCACCUAAAUCCCCCCGGCUCAGUGUCUCACUUUGGAGUCAUUCAUUAGAAGUUAACUCAGACCAUUUAGUAUUAUUGAUUAUAUUUUUACAGGUCCCUAACUAGACCACAAACACCUAGAGGGUAGGAUCUGUGUCUUAUCCAUCUUUGUAUGCCCCAGAGAGCUUAGCGCAGUGACUUAUUUAUGGUGGGUGUUCAGUAAGUGUUUGCUGAUUGACUGGCCGUGAUGCUAGCCCCAGGAGCUGAAGGGCUUCUGGGAGGGUCUACGCAAGGACCCAGUGUUUGUCUCUCUGCCUAUUCAGUUGUAACAAUAGAUCAAGGCAAGACUUCAAUUAUCCUUCACUUUCAUUCCCAAACUCUCUUCUCUGUUCAUUCUGUUGAAAAUGCCUGGUGACAGAGAGUGAGAUGCUGAGAGAGACAAAAUGCCUUCAGAGCCUUAGGAAAGCCAUGUAGCAGGAAGGACAUAUUUCAAUGAAGCUAUUUUCCACCAAGGCUAAUAUUGUGCUUCAAUCCUUCAGGCUCUAGUGAGCUCAUCAACAAUGUUUGCCUUUAAUUUUACCAUUUGUACCCAGUCAUAUGUUACCUGCUAUGUUUCUGUCUAGCUCUGUUUCAUCAAAGGGAUCUUAGAGCUUUCAUUGUCUUUGGAAAUUUGCUUAAGAUGGAUGUGCGUGGGUAUCCAUCACGUUUAAUUAUCUCCUUCAUCAUGUUCCCUCAAUCGUCUGUUAAAGGCUAAACGUUCACAUACUCAUUAAAACAUGGAAUUUUUGUGACUGAAUGGAGGAAGGAAAUUGCAUAUUGAGUUGGGGUGUGUAGAACCUUUUGCCCGAGUUCCCCCUGGAAGGACCCUUGGCCUUUCUCCGAAAGAGCACAUGGCCCAGGCCCGGGGAGCCAUGGGGGCUGUCACUUGCAGGAGAGGAGACUGCGUGUUCUCUCGGAAAGGAUUCCAUACAACAUUGUGAAAGGUUCUCAACUCUGGAAUGUGUAGUAGAAUCACGGGGGAGUAGACUCUGGCGCCCCACCCACUCCUGACCAAUUAAAUAAAAACCUCUUGGCUGGGGCUUGGAAGCUGGCAUUGAUAGAGUUUUGAAAGACGCCCUCCCCAGGUGAGUCUAACAUGCAACAGGCAGGGACAACUACUGACCCAGACCAGUGGUUUUCAAGACCAGGGGUAAUUUUGCCCCCAGCAGACAUUUGGCAAUGUCUGGAGGCAUUUUUGACUGACAUUUUGAAUUUUGGGGAGGUACUACUGGCAUCUGGUCUGUAGAGACCAGAGAUGCUGCUAAACAUCCUACAAUGCACAGAACAGCCCCCACAACAAAGAACAAUCCAGUACAAAACGUCAACAGUGCUGAGGUUGGAAAACCCUUCCCUAGAGUAUUAGAAAAGCAAAGACAUACAGACAUACACACACACACACAUACAAUUAUCUGAGUCUAGAUUUUUUUUUAAGGGAAGGAUUUGCCCUGAGCUAACAUCUGUUGCCAAUCUUCCUCUUUUUGUUUUUUCCCCUCCUCAAAGCCCUGGUACAUGGUUGUAUAUUCUAGUUGUAAGUCCUUCUAGUUCUUCUAUGUGAGCCACUGCCACAGCAUGGCAACUGACAGAUAGGUGGUGUGCUUCCAUGACUGGGAAGCAAACCCAGGCUGCCAAAACAGUGAGAGCACCGAACUCUAACCACUAGACCAUCAGGGCUGGCCCUGAGUGUAGAUUCUUUACAACUACAUUACUUGGGUUUAUAUAAUGCAUUAUGGUUCCCAAAGCAGUUUUACUGACUUGCUGGAUUUGAUCUUCACCUUGACCCUAUAAAGAAAAUAUUAUCACCAUCUCAAUUUUACAGAUCAGCAAACUGAGGCUGAGGACAGUGAAUGACCUCCCCGCAGGACCACAGGGUUUUCUGUUCCUCAGUUAAGGCUCUUUUCACUAGCAGAAAUGUCAAAUGUCUGCACAGACAUCUUCCCUGCCCCACGCUCUACUCAAAGUAACCCCUGUAACUAAUCAGUCUUCAUUCCCACUGAGCCCAAGUCAGCCUCAGAAUCCUUCUCAACACAGCACUCCAGGCAGCCCUGGUUUCUUGGGGUUGGCAUGUGAGAUAAAACAUGUUUGUCACACAGCCUCUCCAAUCUGAACACCAUACCUCUCGCUGAAUUAAGAUGAUCUUGUAGAAAAAGACACAAAGGAGAGCACUUGAGAAUAGGAGGGUCCUUGAAUGUCCGCAGGUGUUCAGACAAUCUGUUUAGAAAUUGCAAUGUUAGCAGCGUGCACUCCUGCCUGCACCAAUGAGGAAGAGACAGUCUCCCUAACCCUGAUAUUUCUUUAUAACUUUAUUAGUGUAUUUGGCUCUCACCAUAUGCCACUAAUUGAUAUAGAAAGGAAGUGCACACAGUUGUAUUCUUCAUUUGGUACAAACUAAAUAUUACGCCUCUUGAGCUUGCUAGGAUCUCCCUCUCAAGUCUAAAACAUGAGAUAAUUAUGAGAACUUAUUGAACUACGCUUCAUGAAGUGGACAAGACAGAAGUUGGAACGUGGCAACAGACUUUCCAUGAAUGGCGCCAACUGUUGCUCUGGAGUUCUGGUGCCCACUCUGGCUGCCCCUUGGAAUCACCUGGGGAGCUGGACUCUACAGACGUUUAUCUUCCUCUGCUGGGCUAGAAUCUCCCAAAGGCAAGGUCUUUUGUCUGUUUUGUUUACGGCUCCAUCUGCAGGUUCUCUAUCAGUGCCCGACACUCUAUGAAUGAAAUAUUACCUACUACGUGUCAGAACUUCGCCUGCCCUUUCAGACACAGACUCUACUCUCAUGGUUAUGUAGUCCCUCUACAGUGUCAUUGUUCUCAUUUCUAUGGAUGAGAAAACUGUGGCCAGGAGAUAACUAGUCUGCAGAAUGUUACACAGCCGGUGCCUGAAAUUUUCAAGACUCAUACAUAGCGUAUGUAGCAGCUGCUGCUGGAAUUCCACCCAUGUGCCCUCAGAGCCCCAUUGUCAUGCACUCCAGCCCAACUCCUGACAGCCUGCACAGCAUCUUUGUCAGCAGGUUGCCUGCAGGCUUCCAGAACUCACCGGCACAUGUGCACGAGGUAGACUGGAAGUACCUUGGAUUAACUGCCUCCGUCACCACUCUGCAACAGCCCUUACUCAAUGACUGACAGGUGUGGGAGUAAGGAUACCUCAGUUCCCUCACCCCUUGGCCAAGAUAAUUUCAAGGCAUGGCUUUACAUCCUUUCCAGACCUUCCUCUGAAGGUUAAGGUUCAGUCACCAGCUGCGGUAGCUGGCUUGACAACAUACACUUUCGGGGUUGACUUCUUACUUGGACUAAUUCUCCAAUUUCCUCCUGGCGUCCCUAUGGCUCCCAAACAUAAUUGUGCAUCCUCAAACCUUGAUCAGGGAAUGCUUCUGCAGAAAACCCGACUAAGAGACUACACUGGCAAUUGCAGUUUAAUUUCUUUAAAGGAGGUUGGUCGAAUUUGUAAGUGAUAUUUACAUUAUCAAAAGAGAUGUUGAAAAAUCUGCCUAUGAUCUAAUAGAUGAUUUUAGUAAAUAGAGCAUUAAGCAAAGCACAAGUAUUUGUGGCUGUUUGUAACCAGGCACAAACGUCCCUCAGACAUUAAAGAAUAUAUCAACAUCUGAGAGUAAAUCUCCUAAUCCACUUUCUAGAAACGGCUCAAAUGUUAGAGUUUCGUGGAAUCCUCUAGGGUGAAUUAGCUAUUCCAUUCUCUCUGCUCUCACAGCAUUUGAUUCAUAUUUCUGAAACAGCAUAUACCGUGCUGUAUUGUAAUUGAUCUGUUUACAUAAUACGUCUCCAAGAUUACAUUCAGAGUUCCUCAAAGGCAAAGAAUAAGUCUUGUUAGCCUUUGUCAUCCCCCCACCCUGAUCUGGCCCUGCCACACUGUUGGCUGCAAUAUUUAGUUAUUGAAAAAAAAAUGAAUGAAUAAAUGAAUGAAUUAAUAAA